CCUACGGGUGGCAGCAGUGAGGAAUAUUGGUCAAUGGGCGGGAGCCUGAACCAGCCAAGUCGCGUGCGGGAAGACGGUCCUAUGGAUUGUAAACCUCUUUUGGCGGGGAGCAAUGCCGGUCACGCGUGCCCGGUGGGAGAGUACCCGCAGAAUAAGCAUCGGCUAACUCCGUGCCAGCAGCCGCGUUAAAACGGAGGAUGCGAGGGUUAUCCGGAUUUAUUGGGUUUAAAGGUGGCGUAGGCGGAUGUUUAAGUCAGCGGUAAAAUGUCCGGGCUCAACCCGGGCCGGCCGUUGAAACUGGGGAGCUUGAGUGGGCGGGAAGUAUGCGGAAUGCGUGGUGUAGCGGUGAAAUGCAUAGAUAUCACGAAGAACUCCGAUUGCGAAGGCAGCUUGCCGGCGCCCGACUGACGCUGAGGCACGAAAGCGUGGGGAUCGAACAGGAUUAGAUACCCCGGUAGUC
Molecule: ribosomal RNA, 460 nt
Filed under: uncultured bacterium
Lineage: Bacteria
Description: partial 16S ribosomal RNA
Rfam family: Bacterial small subunit ribosomal RNA
Source: RNAcentral